UACAGAGGCCUCAAGCGUUAGGCGGAUUCACUGGGCGUAAAGGGUGCGCAGGCGGUCUGCUAAGCAGGGUGUGAAAGCCCCCGGCUCAACCGGGGAAUUGCGCCCUGAACUGGCAGGCUUGAGUGAGAUAGAGGUGUGGGGAACUUCCGGUGGAGCGGUGAAAUGUGUUGAUAUCGGAAGGAACGCCAGAGGCGAAAGCGCCACACUGGGUCUCAACUGACGCUGAGGCACGAAAGCCAGGGGAGCAAACGGG
RNAcentral lists this ribosomal RNA (253 nucleotides) under uncultured bacterium. RNAcentral's name for it is "partial 16S ribosomal RNA". It matches the Rfam family "Bacterial small subunit ribosomal RNA", at positions 524 to 776 of the family's 1533-position model. The record is from RNAcentral.